This 253-nucleotide ribosomal RNA is filed under the name uncultured bacterium. Its description in RNAcentral is "partial 16S ribosomal RNA". It matches the Rfam family "Bacterial small subunit ribosomal RNA", at positions 524 to 776 of the family's 1533-position model. The record is from RNAcentral.
UACGUAGGAUGCGAGCGUUGUCCGGAUUUACUGGGCGUAAAGGGUGCGCAGGUGGCGGCGCGCGUGGGGGGUGAAAUCGCCCGGCUUAACUGGGCGGGGGCCUUCCAGACGGCGUGGCUUGAGCAGCGGAGGGGGACGUGGAAUUCCGGGUGGAGCGGUGAAAUGCGUAGAUAUCAGGAGGAACACCGGUGGCGAAGGCGGGUCUCUGGGCCGAUAUUGACGCUGAGGAGCGAAAGCGUGGGGAGCGAACAGG